AUGGGCCAAGAGAUGGAAAAUGGGAUUAGCGUCAUCAGAUCUUUUUUGUCCAACACAGACACGAGAGGCCAAGUGGCCUCAUUCAAUGUUGUUCAUGUCAAUGACUGUCAGAGGCAGAGAGAGAGAGAGAAGUCAGGCCGUGACAGGUCUCAGCCCAAGCUGACCCUGCUACCCCCCUCCCCGGAGCAGGUCCAGACCAAGGGCACUGCCACCCUGGUGUGCCUUGCCAAUCACUUCUAUCCCGAUGAGCUGGAGGUGCAGUGGAAGAAGGAUGGUGUAGUCAUUUCGGACGGGGUUCAGACCAGCAACUACCUGCGAGCUUCGGACAGCACCUACAGUGUCAGCAGCCUGCUGACCCUCUCUGGCUCUGACUGGGAGUCCAACGCUCGCUUCUCCUGUGCUCUCACCCACGUCACACUCUCCUCUCCCCUCAGUAAGACCAUCAGGAGAUCAGAAUGUGUGUAG
This is a non-coding RNA of Rhincodon typus (whale shark), 465 nucleotides long. Lineage: Eukaryota; Metazoa; Chordata; Chondrichthyes; Orectolobiformes; Rhincodontidae. The record is from the annotation of a RefSeq genome assembly.